AAAUUGAAGAGUUUGAUCAUGGCUCAGAUUGAACGCUGGCGGCAGGCCUAACACAUGCAAGUCGAACGGUAGCACAGAGAGCUUGCUCUCGGGUGACGAGUGGCGGACGGGUGAGUAAUGUCUGGGAAACUGCCUGAUGGAGGGGGAUAACUACUGGAAACGGUGGCUAAUACCGCAUAACGUCGCAAGACCAAAGAGGGGGACCUUCGGGCCUCUUGCCAUCAGAUGUGCCCAGAUGGGAUUAGCUUGUUGGUGAGGUAACGGCUCACCAAGGCGACGAUCCCUAGCUGGUCUGAGAGGAUGACCAGCCACACUGGAACUGAGACACGGUCCAGACUCCUACGGGAGGCAGCAGUGGGGAAUAUUGCACAAUGGGCGCAAGCCUGAUGCAGCCAUGCCGCGUGUAUGAAGAAGGCCUUCGGGUUGUAAAGUACUUUCAGCGGGGAGGAAGGUGUUGCGGUUAAUAACCGCAGCAAUUGACGUUACCCGCAGAAGAAGCACCGGCUAACUCCGUGCCAGCAGCCGCGGUAAUACGGAGGGUGCAAGCGUUAAUCGGAAUUACUGGGCGUAAAGCGCACGCAGGCGGUCUGUCAAGUCGGAUGUGAAAUCCCCGGGCUCAACCUGGGAACUGCAUUCGAAACUGGCAGGCUUGAGUCUUGUAGAGGGGGGUAGAAUUCCAGGUGUAGCGGUGAAAUGCGUAGAGAUCUGGAGGAAUACCGGUGGCGAAGGCGGCCCCCUGGACAAAGACUGACGCUCAGGUGCGAAAGCGUGGGGAGCAAACAGGAUUAGAUACCCUGGUAGUCCACGCCGUAAACGAUGUCUACUUGGAGGUUGUGCCCUUGAGGCGUGGCUUCCGGAGCUAACGCGUUAAGUAGACCGCCUGGGGAGUACGGCCGCAAGGUUAAAACUCAAAUGAAUUGACGGGGGCCCGCACAAGCGGUGGAGCAUGUGGUUUAAUUCGAUGCAACGCGAAGAACC
This 978-nucleotide ribosomal RNA is filed under the name Salmonella enterica. RNAcentral describes it as "bacterial SSU rRNA". It matches the Rfam family "Bacterial small subunit ribosomal RNA", at positions 1 to 970 of the family's 1533-position model. Lineage: Bacteria; Pseudomonadati; Pseudomonadota; Gammaproteobacteria; Enterobacterales; Enterobacteriaceae. RNAcentral also lists the same sequence under 1 other name. The record is from RNAcentral.